UACGAAGGGUGCAAGCGUUGUUCGGAAUUACUGGGCGUAAAGGGCGCGUAGGCGGCAUGGCAAGUCAGGAGUGAAAGGCCUGGGCUCAACCGAGGAACUGCUUUUGAUACUGCCAAGCUAGAGUGCGGAAGGGGCAACUGGAAUUCCCAGUGUAGCGGUGAAAUGCGUAGAUAUUGGGAAGAACACCUGAGGCGAAGGCGGGUUGCUGGGCCGACACUGACGCUGAGGCGCGAAAGCCAGGGGAGCAAACGGG
RNAcentral lists this ribosomal RNA (253 nucleotides) under uncultured bacterium. Its description in RNAcentral is "partial 16S ribosomal RNA". It matches the Rfam family "Bacterial small subunit ribosomal RNA", at positions 524 to 776 of the family's 1533-position model. The record is from RNAcentral.